UCCGGCGUCAGCAGAGCAACAUCGUCCACGUCCAGUUCCUUCCUUCUCACCUUCAACAUCAUGGAUGGACAUAGAAGAAAUCAAUUGAGAUCCGAAAACAAUAAAGCAAGAUCAUGGAGGAUCUGCUUGAAAUUAUUCAGUUCAAAUCCUGUACAAAACAUCGACAUAUGAGAUGAUUUUUGAGGUUUCGUACAUAAUUUUGAAGCUGCCUGACUGGACGUGGUGUUAAUUAUGGCCGAAGUGGUAGAGCUACAUCAUGAUAAAGAAUAUCAUGCUCCAACCUUUUUGGGUAUGAAGAUGUUCAGACUAAGAAUGGAUUCUCAAAAUCAAAACUACUAAUCGAGAUUCAAGAUGUAAUGCACAUCAGUCCAGAAGCUACAAAUCUCUGGAAGGAAAUGGCUACAUGAUCAUCAUGGGGGACCAGUGUGCCAAGGACUAUGCUUUCGUAAGAACAAACCAGUGACCAGUUCGAACCGGAAGUCAAAUAGAGGCAAGAGCUGUUGAGAAGACAUAGAGGUCUGUUUGUAUCUAGAUACUUUCAAAGUGUUAACCAUCAUUGUUGAAUACAUGCUUAAAAAUAA
Molecule: long non-coding RNA, 581 nt
Organism: Macrosteles quadrilineatus (aster leafhopper)
Lineage: Eukaryota; Metazoa; Arthropoda; Insecta; Hemiptera; Cicadellidae
Exons: 8
Source: RefSeq, a predicted model, not a curated record